GCAUAUCAAUAAGCGGAGGAAAAGAAACCAACAGGGAUUGCCUAGUAACGGCGAAGUGAAGCGGCAACAGCUCAAAUUUGAAAUCUGGCGCUUCCGGCGUCCGAGUUGUAAUUUGUAGAGGAUGCUUCUGGGCAGCCACCGGUCUAAGUUCCUUGGAACAGGACGUCAUAGAGGGUGAGAAUCCCGUAUGCGACCGGAGAGGCGCCCUAUACGUAGCUCCUUCGACGAGUCGAGUUGUUUGGGAAUGCAGCUCUAAAUGGGAGGUAAAUUUCUUCUAAAGCUAAAUAUUGGCCAGAGACCGAUAGCGCACAAGUAGAGUGAUCGAAAGAUGAAAAGCACUUUGGAAAGAGAGUUAAAAAGCACGUGAAAUUGUUGAAAGGGAAGGGAUUGCAACCAGACUUGCUCGCGGUGUUCCGCCGGUCUUCUGACCGGUCUACUCGCCGCGUUGCAGGCCAGCAUCGUCUGGGGCCGCCGGAUAAGACUUUGGGAAUGUAGCUCCCUCGGGAGUGUUAUAGCCCUUUGUGAUGCGGCGCGUCCCGGGCGAGGUCCGCGCUUUCGGCUAGGAUGCUGGCGUAAUGGUCGUAAUCCGCCCGUCUUGAAACACGGACCAAGGAGUCUAACAUCUAUGCGAGUGUUCGGGUGUCAAACCCCUACGCGUAAUGAAAGUGAACGGAGGUGGGAACCGCAAGGUGCACCAUCGACCGAUCCUGAUGUCUUCGGAUGGAUUUGAGUAAGAGCAUAGCUGUUGGGACCCGAAAGAUGGUGAACUAUGCCUGAAUAGGGUGAAGCCAGAGGAAACUCUGGUGGAGGCUCGCAGCGGUUCUGACGUGCAAAUCGAAUCGUCAAAUUUGGGUAUAGGGGCGAAAGACUAAUCGAACCAUCUAGUAGCUGGUUCCUGCGAAG
This 903-nucleotide ribosomal RNA is filed under the name Toxicocladosporium strelitziae. RNAcentral's name for it is "LSU rRNA". It matches the Rfam family "Eukaryotic large subunit ribosomal RNA", at positions 38 to 966 of the family's 3401-position model. The record is from RNAcentral. Lineage: Eukaryota; Fungi; Ascomycota; Dothideomycetes; Cladosporiales; Cladosporiaceae.